AUGCAGCUGACGAGUCCCAAAUAGGACGAAACAAGCGUCCUUGAU
This is a non-coding RNA of Schistosoma curassoni, 45 nucleotides long. NCBI's taxonomy places the organism in Eukaryota, Metazoa, Platyhelminthes, Trematoda, Strigeidida, Schistosomatidae. The record is from Rfam.